ACGCUGGCGGCGUGCCUAAUACAUGCAAGUAGAACGCUGAAGGAGGAGCUUGCUUCUCCGGAUGAGUUGCGAACGGGUGAGUAACGCGUAGGUAACCUGCCUGGUAGCGGGGGAUAACUAUUGGAAACGAUAGCUAAUACCGCAUAAGAGUAGAUGUUGCAUGACAUUUGCUUAAAAGGUGCAAUUGCAUCACUACCAGAUGGACCCGCGUUGUAUUAGCUAGUUUGUGGGGUAACGGCUCACCAAGGCGACGAUACAUAGCCGACCUGAGAGGGUGAUCGGCCACACUGGGACUGAGACACGGCCCAGACUCCUGCGGGAGGCAGCAGUAGGGAAUCUUCGGCAAUGGACGGAAGUCUGACCGAGCAACGCCGCGUGAGUGAAGAAGGUUUUCGGAUCGUAAAGCUCUGUUGUAAGAGAAGAACGAGUGUGAGAGUGGAAAGUUCACACUGUGACGGUAUCUUACCAGAAAGGGACGGCUAACUACGUGCCAGCAGCCGCGGUAAUACGUAGGUCCCGAGCGUUGUCCGGAUUUAUUGGGCGUAAAGCGAGCGCAGGCGGUUAGAUAAGUCUGAAGUUAAAGGCUGUGGCUUAACCAUAGUACGCUUUGGAAACUGUUUAACUUGAGUGCAAGAGGGGAGAGUGGAAUUCCAUGUGUAGCGGUGAAAUGCGUAGAUAUAUGGAGGAACACCGGUGGCGAAAGCGGCUCUCUGGCUUGUAACUGACGCUGAGGCUCGAAAGCGUGGGGAGCAAACAGGAUUAGAUACCCUGGUAGUCCACGCCGUAAACGAUGAGUGCUAGGUGUUAGACCCUUUCCGGGGUUUAGUGCCGCAGCUAACGCAUUAAGCACUCCGCCCGGGGAGUACGACCGCAAGGUUGAAACUCAAAGGAAUUGACGGGGGCCC
Molecule: ribosomal RNA, 905 nt
Filed under: uncultured bacterium
Lineage: Bacteria
Description: bacterial SSU rRNA
Rfam family: Bacterial small subunit ribosomal RNA
Source: RNAcentral